AUCGCCUGUUUACCAAAAACAUCACCUCUAGCAUAACAAGUAUUAGAGGCAUUGCCUGCCCAGUGACUAAAGUUAAACGGCCGCGGUAUCCUGACCGUGCAAAGGUAGCAUAAUCACUUGUUCCUUAAUUAGGGACUAGAAUGAAUGGCUAAACGAGGGUUCAACUGUCUCUUACUUUCAAUCAGUGAAAUUGACCUUCCAGUGAAGAGGCUGGAAUACUACAAUAAGACGAGAAGACCCUAUGGAGCUUUAAUUUACUAGUUUAAUUUAUAUAAUAACAACCUAAUGGACCAAGACAAAAUAAAUAUAAACUAAAAAAUUUCGGUUGGGGUGACCUCGGAGAAUAGAAAAUCCUCCGAAUGAUUUUAACCUAGACCUACAAGUCAAAGUAAUAUUAAUAUCUUAUUGACCCAAUUAUUGAUCAACGGACCAAGUUACCCUAGGGAUAACAGCGCAAUCCUAUUUAAGAGUUCAUAUCGACAAUUAGGGUUUACGACCUCGAUGUUGGAUCAGGACAUCCCAAUGGUGCAGAAGCUAUUAAUGGUUCGUUUGUUCAACGAU
Molecule: ribosomal RNA, 561 nt
Filed under: Rattus tanezumi (Oriental house rat)
Lineage: Eukaryota; Metazoa; Chordata; Mammalia; Rodentia; Muridae
Description: partial large subunit ribosomal RNA
Rfam family: Bacterial large subunit ribosomal RNA
Source: RNAcentral